This 853-nucleotide ribosomal RNA is filed under the name human gut metagenome. RNAcentral's name for it is "bacterial SSU rRNA". It matches the Rfam family "Bacterial small subunit ribosomal RNA", at positions 348 to 1198 of the family's 1533-position model. The record is from RNAcentral.
GCAGCAGUAGGGAAUUUUCGGCAAUGGGGGAAACCCUGACCGAGCAAUGCCGCGUGAAUGAUGAAAUUCUUCGGAAUGUAAAAUUCUGUUGUGAGGGAAGAAAGGUAGUAUCAGGAAAUGGGUAUUACUUGACGGUACCUUACUAGAAAGCCCCGGCUAACUAUGUGCCAGCAGCCGCGGUAAUACAUAGGGGGCGAGCGUUAUCCGGAAUUAUUGGGCGUAAAGCGUGCGUAGGCGGCCGUUUAAGUCUGUCGUGAAAGCCCACAGCUUAACUGUGGAGGGUCGAUGGAAACUGGAUGGCUUGAAUCUAGAAGAGGUAAGUGGAAUUCCAUGUGUAGCGGUAAAAUGCUUAGAUAUAUGGAGGAACACCAGUGGCGAAGGCGGCUUACUGGUCUAGCAUUGACGCUGAGGCACGAAAGCGUAGGUAGCAAACAGGAUUAGAUACCCUGGUAGUCUACGCUGUAAACGAUGAGCACUAAGUGUCGGACGUAAGUUCGGUGCUGUAGUUAACGCAUUAAGUGCUCCGCCUGGGGAGUACGGUCGCAAGACUGAAACUCAAAGGAAUUGACGGGGACUCGCACAAGCGGUGGAGCAUGUGGUUUAAUUCGACGCAACGCGAAAAACCUUACCAGGCCUUGACAUCCCUAUGACCGCUCUAGAGAUAGAGUUUCCUCUUCGGAGGUAUAGGUGACAGGUGGUGCAUGGUUGUCGUCAGCUCGUGUCGUGAGAUGUUGGGUUAAGUCCCGCAACGAGCGCAACCCUUAUCAUUAGUUGCUAACAUUAAGUUGAGCACUCUAAUGAGACUGCCAGCGACAAGUUGGAGGAAGGUGGGGAUGACGUCAAAUCAUCAUGC